RNAcentral lists this ribosomal RNA (262 nucleotides) under uncultured bacterium. RNAcentral describes it as "partial 16S ribosomal RNA". It matches the Rfam family "Bacterial small subunit ribosomal RNA", at positions 524 to 776 of the family's 1533-position model. The record is from RNAcentral.
UACGUAGGGGCGCAACGUUUGCCGGAAUUAUUGGGCGUAAAGAGCUCGUAGGUGGCUUGUCACGUCUGCCGUGAAAAGCCCCAUGGCUUAACUGUGGGGUCUGCGGGUGGAUACGGGGCUGGCUAGAGGUAGGUAGGGGCAAGCGGAAUUCCUGGUGUAGCGGUGAAAAUGCGCAGAUAUCAGGAGGAACACCGGUGGCGAAGGCGGUUCUCUGGGGAAUAUCCUGACGCUGAGGAGCGAAAAGUGUGGGGGAGCGAACAGG